AAGACUGACAUCAUUCCGAGUCGAGGAGAGGUCUUUCGUGUUCCAGAUUUGAUCACAUUGCUAGGGGUAAAUUGGCUUAAUGACGUUAUCAUAAAUAAAUAUCUGAACCUUAUCGUGGAAAGAAGUGGGGUGGCCGUAUAUGCAUUCAGCACUUUCUUCUACAAUAGACUUGUGGAGUCCUACAGUAAUAUCAGCAGAUGGACUAAAAAUCUUCUGGUCGUCGUGAUCUAUUUUAUCUCAG
Diachasma alloeum is the source of this 241-nucleotide long non-coding RNA. RefSeq lists it as uncharacterized. Lineage: Eukaryota; Metazoa; Arthropoda; Insecta; Hymenoptera; Braconidae. The record is from RefSeq and is a predicted model, not a curated record. The transcript has 3 exons.